Molecule: non-coding RNA, 583 nt
Organism: Meleagris gallopavo (turkey)
Lineage: Eukaryota; Metazoa; Chordata; Aves; Galliformes; Phasianidae
Source: RefSeq, a predicted model, not a curated record
AUUUUAGAGAAAAUUAAAGUGUUAUUUUUAAAUUGCCUCUUUUAUUUGUCUCCCAGAGAUUGAAAAGGAUAGAAGUUAUUUUAAUGACAAAAAUUACAUUCUAAAGACUUUGGGAAAAGAAUGCUAUUUCUUUUUUGGCAAAUUAUCCCUAAUCUGGUGUACUUUUCUGUAGGUAAAGCCUUUUUCAGUCAUCAGUAGAAAAGUGGACAGAAAAAAAUGUUGCAAGAAAACCUCUUCACUGUUUUUCCAGUGAAGCGGCAAUGAGGUCUGGUAGAGGAUUUCUCAUUCCCCUCACCUGGCACUUCAUCACUCCGUGGGAGUGGGGCAUGGGCUGUUAGGAGCAUGUUCAGGAUCGUCUGUCAAGACUGGAGCUGGAAACUACCACCCGCCUCGCAGAGCUUCAGCCUGGUGCUGGUUCCUGACCCGCAGACCCAGGUCUGCGUACCUCUGAGAGAGCCCAAACUCCCUGGGAAGGAUGGCGAAGCCUUCCGACAAGAUGUUCAGCGAGCCUGAGGCAGAGCUGGAGACCCAGAGCACCACACUGUUGCUGCUGCUGCGUACUGCACUAGCAAAUGUAUUCAUU